CCUACGGGAGGCAGCAGUAAGGAAUAUUGCUCAAUGGGCGAAACCCUGAAGCAGCCACGCCGCGUGGAGGAUGAAUGUUUUCGGAUUGUAAACUCCUUUUUUUAGAGAAGAUAAUGACGGUAUCUAACGAAUAAGCACCGGCUAACUCCGUGCCAGCAGCCGCGGUAAUACGGAGGGUGCAAGCGUUACUCGGAAUCAUUGGGCGUAAAGAGCGCGUAGGCGGGAUAGCAAGUCAGAUGUGAAAUUCUAUGGCUUAACCAUAGAACUGCAUUUGAAACUGUUAUUCUAGAGUAUGGGAGAGGUAGGUGGAAUUCUUGGUGUAGGGGUAAAAUGCGUAGAGAUCAAGAGGAAUACUCAUUGCGAAGGCGACAUGCUAGAACAUAACUGACGCUGAUGCGCGAAAGCGUGGGGAGCAAACAGGAUUAGAUACCCGAGUAGUC
Molecule: ribosomal RNA, 440 nt
Filed under: uncultured bacterium
Lineage: Bacteria
Description: partial 16S ribosomal RNA
Rfam family: Bacterial small subunit ribosomal RNA
Source: RNAcentral